UAAAAAAAUUAAUUAAUUAAAUAGAAACUUAAACAACAAAAGUUUAAAAAGAAUAAAAUAAAAUAUAAAUAUUCUUAUUUUUUCUAAAAAGCAUUAAAAAAAAGAACUGAAACAUCUUAGUAUCUUAAAUAUAAAUAUUAUUUAUGAAAGUAAUGGUGAAUGAAAUCAUAAAAACAAAAUGAUUACACAUAAUAAAUAAUUUUAAGUUAUCUAUAAAGAAAGUACUAUGAAGGAAAUUAAUAAAUAAUUAAUAAUAAACAAUGAGAAUCAUUUACCUUUUGUAUAAUGGAUUUAUAAGAAAUUAAAUUAGCAAGCUUCAAGGCAGAAGAAAUUAAAUUAGUUAAUUUAACCCGAAACUAAACGAUCUAAUUGUGAAUAAUAUUAAGUAUGAACCAAUAAAUGUAGAAAAAUUUUUGGAUAAUUUGCAAUUAGCAGCGAAAAACUAAUCGAGUUUAGAUAUAGCUGGUUUUCUAUGAAAUUUAUUUAAGUUAAUCUUUUUCAUUAAAAAGAAAGAUUAUAAGUUAAAAAAUUUAUAAUCAAAAGAGAAAAAACUCUAAUUAGAAAUUAAUAUGCUCUAAUAAUAAAAUAACAAAUAAUUAAUAAUAAAGACAUUAUAAAAGUAGGCUUAGAAACAGCCAUAUUUUAAAAAUUACGUAAUAGUUUAUUUAUCAAAAAAUUUAAUUAUUAAAUACAGCACAAUUUAUAUAAAAGUUCUAAAAAAAGUAAUAGAAUAUUUUAUUAACCAUAAAGAAAUUUUAAUAAAAGAAAUAAUAUAAAUAUCAAUAAAAAUUAAUUUAUUCCUAAGGAUUCUUAUUCUAUCAAAUAGUAAGGUAAUUCAAACUCUCAAUAAAAAAGGAGAAUAUUAUUCAUUAUUCAAGAAAAAAUAAAUUUAAUAAUUGUAUUUAUCUAACUAAAGAAGGAAUAAAMAAUGAGAAUAACUAUAUUUAAGGAACUCGGCAAAUUUAAUAUCGACUGUUUACCAAAAACAUAGCCCUUGUAAUUAAUCAAAGGUGAAACCUGCCCAGUGAUUCUUAAUUAAAAAUAAGAAAAAUAUUUAAAAAGAAUUAAAAGGACGCGGUAACCUUGACUGUGAUAAUGUAGCAUAAUCACUCGCCAUUUAAUUGAUGGAUAGUAUGAAUGGUUUAACGAAUAUUACACUAUCUAAAGUAUAGAUCUCAUAAAAAUGAAAUAAUAGUUAAGAUGCUAUUUAAAAUUGUAAGACGAAAAGACCCUAUAGAGCUUAACUAUAAUCUUUUUUAACAAAUCAGAAAAAAAAAUUCUUCUUAAAUUAAAAAGACUGGUA
Molecule: ribosomal RNA, 1303 nt
Filed under: Eudendrium capillare
Lineage: Eukaryota; Metazoa; Cnidaria; Hydrozoa; Anthoathecata; Eudendriidae
Description: partial 16S ribosomal RNA
Rfam family: Bacterial large subunit ribosomal RNA (bases 256-1186)
Source: RNAcentral